RNAcentral lists this ribosomal RNA (497 nucleotides) under uncultured bacterium. RNAcentral's name for it is "bacterial SSU rRNA". It matches the Rfam family "Bacterial small subunit ribosomal RNA", at positions 28 to 507 of the family's 1533-position model. The record is from RNAcentral.
CCCUGAUCAGAGAUGAACGCUAGCGGCACGCUUCAUACAUGCAAGUCGAGGGGCAGCAUAAAGUACUUGUACUUUGAUGGCGACCGGCGAACGGGUGCGUAACGCGUAUGCAACUUACCUUUUACUAGAGAAUAGCCAAGAGAAAUUUUGAUUAAUGCUCUAUACUCUUUUUAACUCACAUGAGAUUUUAAGAAAAGCUCCGGCGGUAAAAGAUGGGCAUGCGUCCUAUUAGCUUGUAAAUGAGGUAACGGCUCACCUAAGCUCCGAUAGGUAGGGGUCCUGAGAGGGAGAUCCCCCACACUGGUACUGAGACACGGACCAGACUUCUACGGAAGGCAGCAGUAAGGAAUAUUGGACAAUGGAGGAAACUCUGAUCCAGCGAUGCCGCGUGAAGGAAGACGGCCCUAUGGGUUGUAAACUUCUUUUAUACAGGAAGAAACCUUUCCACGUGUGGAAAGCUGACGGUACUGUAAGAAUAAGGAUCGGCUAACUCCGUG